Molecule: long non-coding RNA, 660 nt
Filed under: Homo sapiens (human)
Lineage: Eukaryota; Metazoa; Chordata; Mammalia; Primates; Hominidae
Description: HSALNT0295128
Source: RNAcentral
CAACGAAGGCCUCAAGGAGGUCUGAAUAUCCACUUGCAGACUUUACAAACAGAGUGUUUCCUAACUGCUCUAUGAAAAGAAAGGUUAAACUCUGUGAGUUGAACAAACACAUCACAACGCAGUUUGUGGGAAUGAUUCUGUCUAGUUUUGAAACGAAGAUAUUUCCUUUUCUGCCAUUGACCUUAAAGCGCUUGAAAUCUACACUUGCAAAUUGCACAAAUAGAGUGUUUCAAAUCUGCUCUGUCUAAGGGAACGUUCAACUCUGUGAGUUGAAUGCACACAACACAAGGAAGUUACUGGGAAUUCUUCUGUCUAGCCUUACAUGAGAAAAAACCGUUUCCAAAGAAGGCCUCUAAGUGGUCAAAAUAUCUACGUGCAGACUUUACAAACAGAGUGUUUCCAAACUGCUGAAUGAAAAGAAAAGUUAAACUCUGAGAGUUGAACGCACACAUCAUAAAGGAGUUUCUGAGAAUCAUUCUAUCUAGUUUUUAUACGAAGAUAUUUCCUUUUCUACCAUUUACCACAAAGCGGCUGAAAUCUCCACUUGCAAAUUCCAGAAAAAGAGUGUUUCAAGUCUGCUCUGUGUAAAGGAUCGUUCAACUCUGUGAGUUGAAUACACACAACACAAGGAAGUUACUGAGAAUUCUUCUGUCUAGCAUA